CUAACCCUCCCCUUCUCUUCUCCUUUCAUCCUUGGCCAUUGUUGGCAGCCUAAAGGCUGAUUUUGGAGGUUUUCUUGGGCUUGUUUGUGGAUCUUAAAGAUUAAUCAAUUGCCUCUUCAAGUGAAGCUUGAGGAUCUCCUUUCUCCCCUCUUGUGAAGAUCUCCUUGGAGUUUUAAGAAACUUGGAGGUGGGAGUGUAGAACUCUAGCUGGAUAUUCAUCGGUUAGCCAGAGUUACCAACCGGUGAACCGAUGGGUCAACGUCAAGGGCCUGAGUACCUUAACGGCCCCGAACCUAGCCGCGGCCACGGUGAAGGUUUAGGGAUGCUUCUAGACCACCUUAUGCUGGGUGUCAGUUCAGUGAAGUGAUGCGGACGUGGAGUGCAUGGCAAGAGUUGGUUUUAGAGUAGUUACUUGAGUUAAUUGUGCAUGUUCUUAGUUAUUGCCAUGUACAGUGUGGAAUCCUUUAAUAUAAGUAACUUGUUAACUUAUGUAUUCAUUUCUGUAUCUUAAGAACCCUUGCAUUAGUUGUGGUCUAAGUGUUGCAUGAGAAACCAUACUCAAUGUUUGGUUUGUAUUAAAAUCUUGUAUUUUGAAGUGUGAGCACUAUGUCCCCUAUCCUUAGUUUGUCAAGUUAGUCUUGUGCAGAGAAUUGUUACAUUCACUUUAUUGUUAAGUUUGUUCAGAGAGCAGGUUAGCCUUACGAUGAUCAAGGGUUGAGAUAGUGUUUAACCUCCCUUGAAUUAUCGUGGCGGUAUGUUGCGUAUGAGACCUGUGUGUCAGGGCGUGACAUACGUUAGGGGUAUCAGAGCCUGAGGUUUAGGUUUAGACAACAUAACCUAGACCUAGAGUUUGUUUCUUGAUUGGGUCAGAAAUUUGAUUUUUCAUCCUUGUAAUUAGUGAAUCCCAAUAGAGUUCUAUAUAUAGCAUUAAUGCAUAUAGAAUUUUUUUUUUUUUAAGGUUACCUUGGUGUUCUUUUUAGUCAGUUAUGCCAGCACAGCACUUGCACACACAUCGCAAAGCUGUUACUCCAAUCUGUAAGUCUGCUCUUUUCUUGUCUAAGCAGAAGAUUUUCUUAUUGUUGUAUUCUUGUUGUGCUUUCUAUUGAAAGUUUCUAUAUUUUCUGCGGUACUGUAGUUAUCAUCCUCCUCUCAUCUCUUAGCCUGGGAUAUGUUGUUUUAAGUCAUUGUACGUGCAACUUGGUGUGAUUGGGUCUGAAUGAGUAGAUGUAAAAUAAU
Molecule: long non-coding RNA, 1236 nt
Organism: Dioscorea cayenensis subsp. rotundata (Guinea yam)
Lineage: Eukaryota; Viridiplantae; Streptophyta; Magnoliopsida; Dioscoreales; Dioscoreaceae
Exons: 4
Source: RefSeq, a predicted model, not a curated record